RNAcentral lists this ribosomal RNA (316 nucleotides) under Salmonella enterica subsp. enterica serovar Durham. RNAcentral's name for it is "partial 23S ribosomal RNA". It matches the Rfam family "Bacterial large subunit ribosomal RNA", at positions 2434 to 2749 of the family's 2925-position model. The record is from RNAcentral. Lineage: Bacteria; Pseudomonadati; Pseudomonadota; Gammaproteobacteria; Enterobacterales; Enterobacteriaceae.
UGGAAGGGCCAUCGCUCAACGGAUAAAAGGUACUCCGGGGAUAACAGGCUGAUACCGCCCAAGAGUUCAUAUCGACGGCGGUGUUUGGCACCUCGAUGUCGGCUCAUCACAUCCUGGGGCUGAAGUAGGUCCCAAGGGUAUGGCUGUUCGCCAUUUAAAGUGGUACGCGAGCUGGGUUUAGAACGUCGUGAGACAGUUCGGUCCCUAUCUGCCGUGGGCGCUGGAGAACUGAGGGGGGCUGCUCCUAGUACGAGAGGACCGGAGUGGACGCAUCACUGGUGUUCGGGUUGUCAUGCCAAUGGCACUGCCCGGUAGC